This 80-nucleotide transfer RNA is filed under the name Hermanssonia centrifuga. RNAcentral's name for it is "Phlebia centrifuga tRNA". It matches the Rfam family "tRNA". From Rfam's summary of the family: Transfer RNA (tRNA) molecules are approximately 80 nucleotides in length. Their secondary structure includes four short double-helical elements and three loops (D, anti-codon, and T loops). The record is from Rfam by way of RNAcentral. Lineage: Eukaryota; Fungi; Basidiomycota; Agaricomycetes; Polyporales; Meruliaceae.
UCGGAUAUGGUGUAGUGGCCAACAUUAUCGCCUCUCAAACGGGUUCGCGAUAGCCCGGGGUUCGAUUCCCCGUAUCCGAA